UGGGGAAUAUUGCACAAUGGGCGAAAGCCUGAUGCAGCAACGCCGCGUGAGUGAUGACGGUCUUCGGAUUGUAAAGCUCUGUCUUUUGGGACGAUAAUGACGGUACCAAAGGAGGAAGCCACGGCUAACUACGUGCCAGCAGCCGCGGUAAUACGUAGGUGGCAAGCGUUGUCCGGAUUUACUGGGCGUAAAGGAUGUGUAGGCGGAUACUUAAGUGAGAUGUGAAAGCCCCGGGCUUAACCUGGGGACUGCAUUUCAAACUGGGUAUCUAGAGUGCAGGAGAGGAAAGCGGAAUUCCUAGUGUAGCGGUGAAAUGCGUAGAGAUUAGGAAGAACAUCAGUGGCGAAGGCGGCUUUCUGGACUGUAACUGACGCUGAGGCAUGAAAGCGUGGGGAGCAAACAGGAUUAGAUACCCUGGUAGUCCACGCCGUAAACGAUGAGUACUAGGUGUAGGAGGUAUCGACUCCUUCUGUGCCGCAGUUAACACAAUAAGUACUCCGCCUGGGAAGUACGGUCGCAAGAUUA
This 525-nucleotide ribosomal RNA is filed under the name uncultured Clostridium sp. Its description in RNAcentral is "bacterial SSU rRNA". It matches the Rfam family "Bacterial small subunit ribosomal RNA", at positions 355 to 896 of the family's 1533-position model. Lineage: Bacteria; Bacillati; Bacillota; Clostridia; Eubacteriales; Clostridiaceae. The record is from RNAcentral.